This 244-nucleotide ribosomal RNA is filed under the name uncultured bacterium. Its description in RNAcentral is "partial 16S ribosomal RNA". It matches the Rfam family "Bacterial small subunit ribosomal RNA", at positions 529 to 772 of the family's 1533-position model. The record is from RNAcentral.
AGGGCGCGAGCGUUGUCCGGAAUUAUUGGGCGUAAAGGGCUUGUAGGCGGUUGGUUGCGUUUGCCGUGAAAUACUCUGGCUUAACUGGGGGCGUGCGGUGGGUACGGGCUGGCUUGAGUGCGGUAGGGGAGACUGGAAUUCCUGGUGUAGCGGUGGAAUGCGCAGAAAUCAGGGGGAAAACCGGUGGCGAAGGCGGGUCUCUGGGCCGUUACUGAUGCUGAGGAGCGAAAGCGUGGGGAGCGAA